CGAAAGUUUGAUUCUAUUUUUUGUUAUUACAAUUUUUUUGAAGUUGCAUGAGCAUAAAUGUAUGUAUAGGUGGGUUAUUUUGAGAUUAACUCUUUAAAAAGUAUGUUAAGUAUUAAAUUUUCAGCAUAAAAUAUUAAGCAUUGAUUUAUGAGAAUAAGACUUAGUAAAAAAUUUAAAUCCGAUUAAAAUAUUGUGCCAGCAGUCGCGGUUAGACUUUGGGGUUAAGUAAUAAGUUUUGGUUUUUGUUAAAUGUUGGAAAAGAUAUGUCUAAGGAUAAUUAAGGUGAAAUUUGAAUUAUUAAUUAAGUAAAUUUUAUUUCCAUAGUUAAAGCAAAAAAGAUCGAGAUAUAAACUAGGAUUAGAUACCCUACUAUACUUGAAAAUAAGUAUUUAUAAACCAAAAUAUUAAUAGUUAAGUUCUUAAAAUUUAAAGAAUUUGGCGGUAUUUUAGUCUUAUCAGAGGAACUUGUUUAUUAAUUCGAUAAAACUCGCAAUAUCUUGCUUACUUUUGUUUUCAGUUUGUAUACCAUCAUUAUCAGAUAAUUUUUAGAGGAUAGAACUAUUAAAUCUUUAUUUAUAUUAAAGGAAAAUUAGAUCAAGGUACAGCUUAUAGGUAAGUUUAAAUGAGUUACAAUAAAGUAUUAUUUAUAAUGGAUAAAGUUAGAUAAUUAAACUUUUGAAGGAGGAUUUGAUUGUAAUAGAAUUUUAAUAUGGUUCUAAGACAUAAGCUCUAAAAUAUGUACAUAUCGCCCGUCACUUUCACUUCUGGGUGGGAUAAGUCGUAACAUAGUAGGUUUACUGGAAAGUGAAUCUAGAUUUCG
This 820-nucleotide non-coding RNA is filed under the name Ashtoret lunaris. Lineage: Eukaryota; Metazoa; Arthropoda; Malacostraca; Decapoda; Matutidae. The record is from RNAcentral.